UACGUAGGGGUCUAGCGUUGUCCGGAAUUAUUGGGCGUAAAGAGCUCGUAGGCGGUUCGGCAAGUCGGAUGUGAAAUCUCCACGCUUAACGUGGAGGGGCCAUUCGAAACUGCCGUGACUCGAGUCCGGUAGGGGAGUUCGGAAUUCCCGGUGUAGCGGUGAAAUGCGUAGAUAUCAAGAGGAACACCUGAGGUGAAGACGGGUUGCUGGGCCAACACUGACGCUGAGGCGCGAAAGCCAGGGGAGCAAACGGG
RNAcentral lists this ribosomal RNA (254 nucleotides) under uncultured bacterium. RNAcentral's name for it is "partial 16S ribosomal RNA". It matches the Rfam family "Bacterial small subunit ribosomal RNA", at positions 524 to 776 of the family's 1533-position model. The record is from RNAcentral.